This 1519-nucleotide long non-coding RNA is filed under the name Mytilus galloprovincialis (Mediterranean mussel). Lineage: Eukaryota; Metazoa; Mollusca; Bivalvia; Mytilida; Mytilidae. The record is from RNAcentral.
AGUGGAACUAUCCAAAUCUGUUUGUUUCUUUUUAUUAGAUGCAAUACAUAAUGAUCUGGUGCUGUUUCCAGGUGUCUUCAGCAUUUUCUCAUCUGAUGAAUUUUUCUACCCUUUUCAGUUACUAUAAAGUGUUACAACUUAAAUUUAGACGCAACACAUAAAUAGUAAUUGGAAAGGUACUGCCAUUGCAUGUGUAAUGCAGAAACUAAUUUAAAAUCGAUGUGUACAAUCGUGAAAUUAUGAGGUCGUCAAGAAAUGAACUUUGUUAUAAAUUCUACUCGUUCCCCAAACCUGAAAUAGUUUUAUCGUCACGUCACGUCUGCUUUCAAAAUACCUUUUAAAUGAAUGUGACCGUCUUUCGCCUGAAAUGUAUGCCAUACUGACAUUUUCAGCAUGUUUAAGAUAACUAAAUGACAACUGCGUCUUCAAAACAACUGUUUACUUUCAAUUUGUGUUUAUCGUGACUUUCGAUGUAAAACCUAGAGAUGUUCCGAAAUCCUGCACUUGUGUCAACUCGGCCAAUAUAGAAUAACUCGGCCAAUACAGAAAAAAUCUGUAUUGGCCUAGUUAUUCUGUAUUGGCCCAGUCUACACAUUAUAUUGCAUAGGCAGUUUUCAUCAUAUUAAGUCCAAUAACAGUGCAGUUAAUUAAUAAUUAAUAUUAUUAUACAUUGUAGAAGAAACAAUUAUCCACUGUUUCAAGGUAUCAUAGUAUGUCCUCAAUAUCUUAAGUCAUGUGAUAGUUCCUAUUUUCUAGAUUGGGAAGUAUUUGUUGGUGCAGUAUGAACAUUAUUGCUUGUACAUGUCUCAUGAUUGUAUGAUAUAAUAAUAUCUUUGUUUCUAAAAUUUUUUUCAUUUCCUUUUAAAUUUUACUUCUUUUAGCUGUAGUAACCAUGACCUCUGACCAUUUGACUUAAAAAAAAUCACCUUUUUGUCUGCAAAGGGUUGUAAACUAUUAAUAUAUCAUGUAUAAGAUUUCAUACAUACUAUCAGUUUUGAAAUUUUACCAAAAGAAUAUACUAAUAAAGCUGAUGUGAUAUAGACAUUUUUGUGAAUAAGAUCAAUUGAUGUGGUCAUCUCCAUGUUUGGCGCUGUCGGGCCAAGUUUGACAAAAGCUGAAUUUAUCAUUAGACAUGUAACAUUCUGAAACAGGAAAUUUCUCAUUAUAUCUGUGAUGACUUAAGACCAAAAAACCAUUAGCAAUCUUUGAAUGAUCUCAAAAUCUAAAAAAUCAAAAUGUUGAUAGUGGGAUGUCAUUUAUCAUACAAUUUUGUACAUGUCAUAAUUCCAGUUUGAAAAGUUGCAAAUCCAUUCAUUAUACUAGUCAUACUUUAUUCAAAUGACAUCAUUGGUCAUUGCUAAAAUGGCUAUCUUAUUUUAGGGAAUUAUGUUCAGGAACAUUUUUCAAACAUUGUUACUGAAUUUAAAUUAAUCAUCGACGAUUUACAAAUGUUUUAAAUAUAUAUACAUGCAUUACAAAUCAUUAUUGAUCAUUUGUCACAAAAAGAUAUAUUUGAAUG